GCCACCGAAGCGAGCGAGGCAGGCUGCGCAUGUGAAGCUCGCCUGCUUGGCGACCCGUCUCUUUUGGAUGUAUAGCCCGUUUGUUGGGCUCCCGGCGUUUUCUUGCGUUGCGUCUGCAUUUAGACACCCCACUACUGGGCAACGGCAAGCUGAUCCCGUCCGAUGGAGCUUCGUACGGGAACUACUGUUGCUUACCUGGUGCCACAACGUUGGAUGAACGCACAAAAAAACCUGGAACGAGCAUUUAUGUAGAGCGAAAUAAAUAUUUCCUCAUUUCA
Molecule: long non-coding RNA, 278 nt
Organism: Dermacentor andersoni
Lineage: Eukaryota; Metazoa; Arthropoda; Arachnida; Ixodida; Ixodidae
Source: RefSeq, a predicted model, not a curated record